AGGACUAUACUUUCAGGGAUCAUUUCUGUAGUUGGUAACUAGAGGAGUGUGAUCGAAAGUGUCCGGCGUCACAAGCCACGAGGAGGAGCAGCGUGUUCUCUCCUGAGCGCGAAGCGGGCGGGCGGUGCUGCUUGUGCGGGAGCCGCUCGUCAUUGAUGACCGUUCCCGUGCCACGAGUUGGCACUGGGAGGGAGAGAACACAGGCUGAGUGGG
RNAcentral lists this small nucleolar RNA (213 nucleotides) under Coturnix japonica (Japanese quail). RNAcentral describes it as "Small nucleolar RNA U3 (ENSCJPG00005017241.1)". It matches the Rfam family "Small nucleolar RNA U3". Rfam says of the family: Small nucleolar RNAs (snoRNAs) are involved in the processing and modification of rRNA in the nucleolus. There are two main classes of snoRNAs: the box C/D class, and the box H/ACA class. Lineage: Eukaryota; Metazoa; Chordata; Aves; Galliformes; Phasianidae. The record is from Rfam by way of RNAcentral.